AUGAAGAACGUAGCGAAAUGCGAUACGUAAUGUGAAUUGCAGAAUUCAGUGAAUCAUCGAGUCUUUGAACGCACAUUGCGCCCCCUGGUAUUCCGGGGGGCAUGCCUGUCCGAGCGUCAUUGCUGCCCUCAAGCACGGCUUGUGUGUUGGGCCUCCGCCCCCCGGCUCCCGGGGGGCGGGCCCGAAAGGCAGCGGCGGCACCGCGUCCGGUCCUCGAGCGUAUGGGGCUUCGUCACCCGCUCCGUAGGCCCGGCCGGCGCCCGCCGGCGACCCCCCUCAAUCUUUCCAGGUUGACCUCGGAUCAGGUAGGGAUACCCGCUGAACUUAAGCAUAUCAAUAAGCGGAGGA
Molecule: unclassified non-coding RNA, 348 nt
Filed under: soil metagenome
Description: partial contains 5.8S ribosomal RNA, internal transcribed spacer 2, and large subunit ribosomal RNA
Rfam family: 5.8S ribosomal RNA (bases 1-119)
Source: RNAcentral